GCCUGACGCAGCGACGCCGCGUGGGGGAUGAAGGUCUUCGGAUUGUAAACCUCUUUCGGGAGGGAAGAUGGGAUGGGGUAACCCAUUCGGACGGUACCUCCAGAAGCAGCCACGGCUAACUUCGUGCCAGCAGCCGCGGUAAUACGAAGGUGGCAAGCGUUGUUCGGAUUUACUGGGCGUACAGGGAGCGUAGGCGGUUGGAUAAGCCCUCCGUGAAAUCUCCCAGGCUUAAACCUGGAAAGUGCAGAGGGGGACUGUUCAGCUAGAGGAUGGGAGAGGAGCGCGGAAUUCCCGGUGUAGCGGUGAAAUGCGUAGAGAUCGGGAGGAAGGCCGGUGGCGAAGGCGGCGCUCUGGAACAUUUCUGACGCUGAGGCUCGAAAGCGUGGGGAGCAAACAGGAUUAGAUACCCUGGUAGUCCACGCCUUAAACGAUGGAUACUAAGUGUCGGCGGGUUACCGCCGGUGCCGCAGCUAACGCAGUAAGUAUCCCGCCUGGGAAGUACGGCCGCAAGGUUG
Molecule: ribosomal RNA, 515 nt
Filed under: uncultured Nitrospira sp.
Lineage: Bacteria; Pseudomonadati; Nitrospirota; Nitrospiria; Nitrospirales; Nitrospiraceae
Description: bacterial SSU rRNA
Rfam family: Bacterial small subunit ribosomal RNA
Source: RNAcentral